This 531-nucleotide ribosomal RNA is filed under the name uncultured Planomicrobium sp. RNAcentral describes it as "bacterial SSU rRNA". It matches the Rfam family "Bacterial small subunit ribosomal RNA", at positions 303 to 825 of the family's 1533-position model. The record is from RNAcentral. Lineage: Bacteria; Bacillati; Bacillota; Bacilli; Caryophanales; Caryophanaceae.
AUCGGCCACACUGGGACUGAGACACGGCCCAGACUCCUACGGGAGGCAGCAGUAGGGAAUCUUCCGCAAUGGACGCAAGUCUGACGGAGCAACGCCGCGUGAGUGACGAAGGUUUUCGGAUCGUAAAACUCUGUUGUGAGGGAAGAACAAGUACCAAGUAACUACUGGCACCUUGACGGUACCUCACCAGAAAGCCACGGCUAACUACGUGCCAGCAGCCGCGGUAAUACGUAGGUGGCAAGCGUUGUCCGGAAUUAUUGGGCGUAAAGCGCGCGCAGGCGGUAAAAUAAGUCUGAUGUGAAAGCCCCCGGCUCAACCGGGGAGGGUCAUUGGAAACUGUUUUACUUGAGUACAGAAGAGGAGAGUGGAAUUCCAUGUGUAGCGGUGAAAUGCGCAGAGAUAUGGAGGAACACCAGUGGCGAAGGCGGCUCUCUGGUCUGUUACUGACGCUGAGGUGCGAAAGCGUGGGGAUCGAAACAGGAUUAGAUACCCGUGGUAGUCCACGCCGUAAACGAUGAGUGUUAAGUGUUG